Molecule: transfer RNA, 84 nt
Filed under: Felis catus (domestic cat)
Lineage: Eukaryota; Metazoa; Chordata; Mammalia; Carnivora; Felidae
Rfam family: tRNA
About the family: Transfer RNA (tRNA) molecules are approximately 80 nucleotides in length.
Source: Rfam by way of RNAcentral
GCCUGGGUGGCUCAGUUGGUUAAGCAUCUGACUUCGGCUCAGGUUAUAAUCUCAUGUUUGUGGAUUUGAGCCCCACGUCAGGCU